This 68-nucleotide transfer RNA is filed under the name Acropteris iphiata. Its description in RNAcentral is "tRNA-Val". The record is from RNAcentral. Lineage: Eukaryota; Metazoa; Arthropoda; Insecta; Lepidoptera; Uraniidae.
CAAAUUAGAUCUUGAUUUUAAAGUAUUUCAUUUACAUUGAAAAGAUAUUAUUUAUUUAAUUAAUUUGA